Long non-coding RNA from Vollenhovia emeryi, 973 nucleotides. RefSeq lists it as uncharacterized. The record is from RefSeq and is a predicted model, not a curated record. Lineage: Eukaryota; Metazoa; Arthropoda; Insecta; Hymenoptera; Formicidae. The transcript has 3 exons.
CGAGGGCACAAGCCACCACGAGGCCCAAGCCCCGACAACUGUUGUUAUCUCAAAGAUAAAACAAUUGUUGUUAUUGAAUAUAUUUGUUAUAACGAAGAAGAAAGAGCCGUGAUUAUUGGUAGAAAAUUUUUGGCAAAAAAUUCUUUGCGCUUCUAUCCUUGCGAGUCACAAAAUAUGGAUAUAUAUGUGGUUAAAAAUUUAUCGGAUCUAAUGAUGUGGUCAAUUACAGAAAUAAUAAAUAAAGCCGUUCAGCUUCCAUUGAAAGACUUCCUGGUGUUGCAUGCCGUUAUUACAUUCAUCAUUAAAAUAAAAUAAGAAGACAGAAUGUCCUCAUGCUGCUUAUUUUUCGUCGUUUAUAAAUGGCGUUUUACGUUGUGUUAUAUGAUACGUACAGUAUAACAGUACCAACUAAAUGGAUAGACUUUGCGCGAUCUACAUUUAAAAUGCCGAAAAAAUGUAAACAGCUUACUCAAGCUUGCAUGAAAGAAUGGCUACCAUGUGAUGAUUGAGAUGAAUUCAUAUAUCAGAAGAGCUUUGGUCCUUAUGGUUCGUUUUAUACAUGUGUAACCUACAUUAAAAUAUGAAAUGAAAAUAAUAUUCGAAAACAUAUUAUAGAAACGUAUCAAAAUGCACGGUCGGUAGAAAAAGCAAUAAGCGAUAUAUCUGCGUCAGAUGACAAUAUUAUUAGGCAGACACAAACAAAAAAUGCUUCAAAGAAGAGGCUUAUCAAAAAACGAUAAUUCUUUGAUGAUACAUCGAGCGACGAAGAUGAACCAGAGACGAUUACAAUUACAGUGCCCUCCAAUUACAUUUCACCAAUAGAAAGCGGAAAUGUAUCCGAUUCAUUGAGCCAACCGAUUAAUAAAUUAUUAAUUAGUAGUCAGUCAGGUUUAAACAUGCAGAAAACGAUGACACACGAUGAUUGUGAUGAGCAAGAAAAGAAAACUUCAAAAGGUAUAUUUUAAAUUGUUAU